CAUCUGUCUCUAGACCGCAGCUGACCACAGGAAACUGAAACCAUGGAAAGCGAAACCAUGAAUACAAGACAAUGAAUGAACACAUAGCUGCAUGAGUGCAUAUCAACAUGAAAUUUGACGUCACCAUGUGGAGAGUAUCCAGAAAGCUUUCAGAGGUUGGGAGAUAGAGGCCACAGGCAAAUGGCUGAAAACCCCAAUGGCAUCAAGAUGUUCAAAGCAAGGAAACUACUGGAACGUGUGCACUAUAAAAAUGAUGAGGAAAAUAAGACACACAGCUAGGGAAAAAGAGGGUAAACCUGAGAGAGGAGUAACAAUGUCUCAGGUCACCAGAUUGGAGCAGAAAGAUGGAGGGUGGAAGGACCAAAGUCUACAGAAAAAGAAAAUUGAUGGGUUACCUGAUGUUCUGAACAUUUGGAAAACAACAUUCAUUUGCUAGAUCUUGAAGCAUUUGAAAAAAAAAUAGUAAGUAUAUACAAAUCAAGCAAACCACAGGAAAGACAAUGAUCAAUGCUGAGACAGGUUGUCUAAAGAAAGAAA
This is a long non-coding RNA of Acinonyx jubatus (cheetah), 537 nucleotides long. RefSeq lists it as uncharacterized. The record is from RefSeq and is a predicted model, not a curated record. NCBI's taxonomy places the organism in Eukaryota, Metazoa, Chordata, Mammalia, Carnivora, Felidae. The transcript has 3 exons.